AGCACUGUAGCUCAGUGGCAGAGCAUCUGUCUAGUAUGCAAAAGGUCCCAGGUUCAAUCCCCAGCACCUCCAGGUAGGGCUA
Molecule: transfer RNA, 82 nt
Filed under: Podarcis lilfordi (Lilford's wall lizard)
Lineage: Eukaryota; Metazoa; Chordata; Lepidosauria; Squamata; Lacertidae
Description: tRNA.Thr
Source: RNAcentral